AACGAACGCUGGCGGCAGGCCUAACACAUGCAAGUCGAACGAGAAGCCACCUUCGGGUGGUGGACAGUGGCAGACGGGUGAGUAACGCGUGGGAACGUGCCUUUCGGUUCGGGAUAACCCAGGGAAACUUGGGCUAAUACCGGAUACGCCCUUCGGGGAAGGAUUCAUUGCCGAAAGAUCGGCCCGCGUCGGAUUAGCUAGUUGGUAGGGUAAAAGCCUACCAAGGCGACGAUCCGUAGCUGGUCUGAGAGGAUGACCAGCCACACUGGGACUGAGACACGGCCCAGACUCCUACGGGAGGCAGCAGUGGGGAAUAUUGGACAAUGGGCGCAAGCCUGAUCCAGCCAUGCCGCGUGGGUGAAGAAGGCC
Molecule: ribosomal RNA, 369 nt
Filed under: uncultured bacterium
Lineage: Bacteria
Description: bacterial SSU rRNA
Rfam family: Bacterial small subunit ribosomal RNA
Source: RNAcentral